This 3705-nucleotide long non-coding RNA is filed under the name Callithrix jacchus (white-tufted-ear marmoset). RNAcentral's name for it is "lncRNA (ENSCJAG00000078343.1)". The record is from RNAcentral. Lineage: Eukaryota; Metazoa; Chordata; Mammalia; Primates; Cebidae.
GUGAAUAAUGUCAUCGUUGAUUUAAUUAGCAAAUUCUAGAUGUGCUGACAAGAGAUUUUCUUGGGAGAUGCACUGGGUUGUGUCAAUGCUCGAAAUGAAUAGGCAGAGCUGAGUUCCUGGUAAUAACGGAUGAACAACACAACUUGCCAAACCUCAAACAGUGCAUAAAUCAAUUUGCUGGGAAUUAACCACUCGCUUCAAAAUUAGGGGUUACUUGACAGGGUUUCAGUGAUUAGGUUGUCAGGGACCCGUAUUUCUAGCUGGGAUUUAUCUAUCAUUGAUAUGAGCGUAUCUCCUCCUGGGCUGCAGAUUGACUUGCAUCGCCAGCUUGCAGGCCGAGCUCAGAGGGUGGGGGCCCUGCCUUCUGGGGGAGCAGAUGACCCUCUGGAGGUCACCCAGGCAGGGAGGAGAGGGGAAAGAUGGGUCAAGGAGAAGAGAGCUCUGCCUUACCACUGAGGCCCAGGGGCUUCCUGGAGAACUGCCAUGGCUGAUGAGAAUGUAUUCAGUUGCCUUCCAGAAAAUCUCCUCCAGCUGGUCCACGUCAUCCAAAUCCUCAGCUCUCACUAAGAGUGGAGGGUGUUUCUUACUGUUGUUUUGUGUCAGACUGUGAAGAGAGAAUAAGAAGAGCUGGGAGAGUGGGCAUUUGGGGAACACAAAUGUGGCGUACUGAUGCUUCACCCAGGUGGUUUUGGACCCUUUUACCACAUAGUUGGCUUUGGUACUUUGCAUUCCUCACUCGGGUGACACUUGGGUGACACCAGCAAAAAAGACAGGGGAAAGUUCAUGCUGAUUUUUGAAUUCUGAGAGCCUAGAAUUCAGUGAACAUUCAGAGAAUAUUCAGUUUUAAAGUGUAUUUGUAAGAAUGGCUGACAAGAAACAGUCGUGCACCCAAUCCUGACAAGAUCAAGAUUCCCUGGGACUUUCGGUUAGGGAGAGAGGAGUGCACAAAUACUCCUUCUUCCGUUAGUGGGUUCCUAACAGAAGAGAUGCUGAGCUCUAUCCUCUUUCUCCUUCACCAUGAACACCUCAUACGGAGCUAACAAAAACCCCAGAAAGGAUUGGGAAAUCUGGGCAUAGAGACAGACCCCUUUCCCAGGUAACCUUUGUGGAAGCACCAAGAGCUUAAAAGUGAGAGUGGAUAUAGGGAUCUCAGGGCAGAGGGGCCUUAACAGCUGCCCAGAGCUUCCCACGGCCAAGCAAUGGGCAGUAGUGGCAGAAAAAUUCUCUGUAUUCUCUGUGUGGAGGUGGGUAAGAGCUUGUAGAGCAGGAAUGGGGCUGAAGAGUCCCUGAUCCAGUAACUGGCUCCCCCGCCAGAGGAGAAGUCUUUGCUGCUGGGAGUCUCUGCUGAUGUCAGAAUGGAUGGCCCUGACAUGUGACAUCAUCAUCUAGAACUGGGGAAGGAUGAGCAUCCUGACUUUCCUGGAAGUGUGCUCCCACCAUCAGGUAAAAUUAACAUGUGAGCUUCUAGACACAAACAAAAUGAAUGUCCACUGCCACUAACAACUCUGAGGGUCCUGUACUUCUGUGGACACACACACACAGACUCAACAAAAAGUUACACAGGGUCUAUCUAAUCAUCCAUCAAUCAUCUGUUAAUUUACCUAUAGUAUCUAUCAUUUGUCUACAACUUCCUUUAUUCACUUGAGGUGGCAAAGAGAUCUUUCAUCUAAGUACAGCUCAGUCUCAUUCUCUUUAGAAGCUAUAUAACAUUCAGCUUAAUGGUGGCACUACAGUUGAUUUAACUGUUCCCUUAUUGAUGGCAAUUUGGUUGUUUACAGAUUUUAAUGAGAAGAUGGCAUUCCAUUUUAUGAACUUACCGUAAUUGCUGAACGCAUUCUCUUACUGGUAGAUCCUAGGCUGCAGACAAUGUUUCCUGUUACAGGACUCCCUCAGAAUCCCUGUCCAUAUACCUUUAUAAUGUUUUUAUUUUAUUUUUCUUUAGAUUCAUUAAAGUGAGAUGGCAUGGCCAAAGGGUAGGCAAAUAUAUUUUAUUACAUAAUUCCAAAUUGCUCCCAAAAUGUUUGUAGCAGUUGGUUUUUCCUGCCAACAAUUAGGAAGCUGCCUGUUUUUUCACAGCCUCGACAGCAAUCAAUGUGAACAAUAUAUGACUUGUUAACAAUCAGAUUUGGCAAAAUCUAUUUCGUUGCUACUCACUUCCUCAUUCCUUUAAUCAAUACUGUGGUUGAGCAUCUUUUCACAGAUGUAUUUGCCAUUCAUACCUCAUUUUUGCCUAUACGUAUUCUUUAUCCCUUUAGCGUAUUGUCUGUCAUUUUCUUUCAAUGAGUUGGAUUUCUCUAAAUACGGGGUAUUAACAGUCAGUUGUAAAUGUUUUCCCUCCCUUGUUUGUCACUUGUGUUUUAGUUUUGUCUAGUCUUGUUCUUAUUAGGAAAACAUUAGUCAUUUUGUUCCUGACCCUUCACUGCAAGGCCACAAAAAUGUUCCUUCAUAUUUUCUUCCAGAAUUCUUUUGGUUUUUAUUUUUUACACUUAGGUCUUUGAUUUAACAUAAAUUUAUUUUUGUGAUAUAAGGUAGGGAUCUUCCUUUUAUUUUUUUUCCAAAUGCAUAGUCAAUUGUUCUCAUUCAACAUGUUUUAAAAAACUACCCUUUCCCACUUAUUUUAAAUGCUGCUUUUAUGAUAGAUUAGAGACCCAUGUGUACUUAAAUUGGCUUCUGUACCGCUUUUUCUGUUCCACUGGUGGAUUUGCCCGGUGUCAAACUCUUAACUUAUAUUUUCAUCAUCCUUGCUGUAAGUUGGGAGGCUUUUCAACCCCUGGAGUUUCUGGGAGCCAGAAACGACGCAUUGCUUCUUAUGUUCCACAGGGGCAGAGCGCACUGCUGAACACAGAGCUUCCUUUAGGAGAAAAUUUGGAUUUUCACACAUUCAAAAAGAAAUUAUGAAACUAAUUAGCUAAAACUCAAGGUUAUAAAAUCACUGCUAAUGGGCAGAAAGGCCUCUCCAGAAUUUAAAUUCUUCCUGGUGCUCCUCCUGUGCAUUUACGUGCAGAUAGCAUCCUCCCAGGGCUGGGAGAAGCGCCUCCAGGAGAGCUUAGUUUACCUUCCAGGUUCUGGGGUACGCAGCCCUUCCAGUUACCGUCUCAAGCAAGGGAGCACCUGCCUCAGGAAGAGCGGCUCCCGUGAAAUCUUCAGAUCUUAAAGGGCACUGGUAAACGUCACAGUCUCCCAGCAGGAGAGUAGAGACAGCCAGUAGGUAUAAAUCUCAGGCAGCCAAUGGUUGGCAUCCAUAAGCCUUACCUUGUAAAUAAUUCACUUCAGUGCAGGAAAUCUGCAUACGAGCAUGAAAUGUCAUUUAUAACUCACAGGACACUGGCUUGGCUGGGAACAACUUUCCAGUCUCUUCGACUCAUUAAGUGCUGCUAAGGAAGAGAGAAUGCAGCUGAUGUAGAAUAAACCCCCUGCAGUAAGCCUGUGACUGUACAGACUAGUUAGCAGUACUCAAACUGAAAAUAAAACUCAUGACCAUGCGGGCAUCAUCACUCCGCUCUCUAAGCUCAGCGUCUCUCCAGGGUUAGCUUGGCUCUACCUCAUUUUCCAAGCUGCUUCCAGGCCUGCCCUUCACUGAAACCCCGAGCAGACCAGGAGAAAGGUUGGCUGUGGUGCUUUCUCGUGAAGUGAUGCGCGUUCACUGGCUGCAAAGAGAAUAUAUAAUGUUCCAAUUAAGAGCUUAUCGCCCUGAAAUUCUGGAAU